Molecule: long non-coding RNA, 36000 nt
Filed under: Triticum aestivum (bread wheat)
Lineage: Eukaryota; Viridiplantae; Streptophyta; Magnoliopsida; Poales; Poaceae
Description: long non-coding RNA (TAES_LNC015253)
Source: RNAcentral
CACCAAUGCAUCACCAAAAAGAUGACUAGCAACCCAUAUGAAUUAAGAUAUCACUCCAUUUCAAGGUAUCCAUAGACUGAAAAGCUAGUUUUUUGCAUAAAUACCACAAGUUUCUGAACCAAAAAUAGGAUCCAAGCAACAUUCAUAGUACGACUAACAGCAAAUGAUCCUCAACAGAGCAAAAUUAAAGCUCCUCAUGACAUUCAUAGAAACAGCAGGACUACCCAGAGAGGAGUAAGUUUCUUGAUUGCCACCAGUAGAGUUGGAAGAUAGCCUACAGCCUCCUUCCCCUCCUUCCUCCCUUCCGGCGGGUGCUGUCAGUGGGAACUGGAGUCACGUCCUCUGCAGCACAAGAACAAGCAUUAUGGUCAGGCAUAUGCAGACACAAUCCUCUUUGAUUCGCAGGAUUGUAAAAACAUGGGAAUAGGAAAAACAUAGGAUUGAAAUGUCAUGCUCAUCUCAAUCCUAUAGGAUUUUAGGUUGUUUGAUUGCAUCAUAGGAAAAACGAAGGAUUCUUUCAAAGAGGUUUGACUGGAUGCUAGAAAUCCUAUGGGAAGUAGUACAAAAAAUUUCUUAGGAAAAAAUCCUAUAGGAUUCAAUCCUAUGAAUCAAACAACCAAUAUAGGAAAAUUUCCUAAGAUUCUAAUCCUCCAAAAUUCCUAUGCAAAUCCUUUGAAUCAAAGGAACCCUAAGAUGGGACAUAUGUGCUUCCACAAACACUAUAUCAGAAAGCGUUGCGUACCAAUGCGCCCAAUUUUCAUCCCAGAACGAGCAAGAGCCCUGAGAGCAGACUGAGCUCCAGGUCCAGGUGUCUUGGUCUUGUUGCCUCCAGUGGCACGGAGCUUAAUGUGCAGUGCGGUAAUACCAAGCUCCUGAAAGAACAGAAUAAACUCUGAGACAAAGCAUCUCAAGGGAGCAAUGCAGCACUACAUCCUAGUCAUGUACCGGCAUUCCAAGCAUCAGUCUAAUGAAGAGAAUACAACUGGUAAUAGGCACAGCUGAAAGUGAAGCCUUGAUAUUUGAGGAUGCAUACCUUGCAACGUGUAGCAACAUCCUGAGAUGCAAGCAUAGCAGCAUAGGGUGAAGACUCAUCACGAUCAGCCUUGACCUUCAUUCCACCUGGAUGGUUUAGAGGAAUAACAGUGCAUAUUAAGUACCAUCACUAACAGUGUGAAUGCAAGUAAUGGCAUAGGAAAAGAUGCAUACCAGUGAUCCGCACCAGGGUUUCCCUCCCAGACAAGUCAGUCACAUGCUGCAUAAUGAGAUUAGAGUCAAUACACAUGAGACAACAGUGUUGAAUGCAUAGGUGCUGAGAAGAAAAUACUUACGAUGAAAGUGUCAUUGAAGGAUGCAAAGAUGUGAGCAACGCCAAAGACAUGCUCUCCCUCACGGACAGCCGGUCCAAGGGUGACAUUCUCCUCCUUGGGCUCCCUGGUCUUCCUCUUCGACGACUGCAACAACAAACCACAAUUUACAUUAGACAACCCACUCGGCUAACAUGAAAGGCAGCAUUUACAGAACAUUUCUGGUUUCGUGCAGCACAGUCAGCCUAAGUUGAUACAAAAAUACCAUAUGUAGCUUUAGGAGGAAUAAAUUAUGUGUGGGUGUGGCUGAUGGCCAUGGGUUUCAGUAAAUUCUAGUAGAAGCUGACCAACUGGCAGCAGAUUUACUGAGUUAGAGCAUAUUGUGCAAACCAACUGUUUGGAGAUGAUCCGACACUAACAGCAUAACUAGAAAUACAGGUAGCAACCAUGAAAACUCGACAAAAAAGGAUGGAGAUUAAUUCAGUUAUCUAAAACCGCCCAACCCCUUCUUCAUUCAAGCAGGUCAACUCUAUUCAUCCACGCUACCCCAUUCCACCAAGUGAUGCCGAAUGCAAUUUCCUCCUUCAUGGCAUACUCGACAUUUACUACCAUCCACACGGUACAACCGAAGAGAAAUACAUAAUCCUGUCGCAGCUUCAUCCAAUCAACCCUGUCCUAGCAUACCACCCUACCUAGAAUCAAGCAAUCGAGCGCCGCAGCUGUUGCGAAUCUACCGAAUCUGCGCGCUUUCGGAAGCGAGGAGAAAUUGCGACGGCCAAUCGCAGCAACAACCGAAUCAGGGGAGAGGAAACGCACCAUGGUCGCGUGGAGCGGCGGUGGACCGGAGACGACGACGGCGAGGAGGAGGAGUGCGCGCCUGGUUGAGAUCACGAUGAGUGCGCCGCCGCCGCCGAAAGCUCAGAGGGUCGGAGGGCGAAGGGGUGCCCGCUUAUAUAUGGGGGUGCCGCCAGCUAGGGUUUAACCCCCCGCCUCCGAUCGGCUCAAAUGCCGAUUUUGCCCUCACGCAUGUGUCACUGCAAGUGGGUCCAACGGAUUAUUGGCGACCCGGGCCGUUAGUUGGGCCGAAUGAAAUGGUUUCUUCGGGCCCAUGUGACACCAAGGUAUGAAUGGGCUGGAUGCUGGGCAUUUUCGUCCCUGGGUCGCCCGAUAGAGAGGAGCGGAGAAGGAGGGGUGCUGCGUUCGGCAAGGAUGAAUCGCUCCCGAGUGUAUUGAUUCUCUGGUUGCUCUGAUUUCUUUCGAGGACUCAUUGACAAACCAUUUUGAGAAACAAAGAUUUAUAGAAACCACCCUUUAAAUCAUCCCAAUGGAACCAUAUCCUUGUCAGUUUUGGUAUAAUUUUUACCCUCAAAACUAUGAAACCGUAUAAAUCAACCCUUCUGUGGUUUUAAAGCCACCAUGUCCAAUUAUGGGCAGUAUUGGCCAGUGUUGAGAGCGUUGACUCCCUUUUUCUUUUCCCUAUGUGUAUUUAAAAAAAUUAUCACCUACUAAAAAUGUUUAUUGUGUGUAUCUAAAAAAUAUUCACCGGGCAUUUUUUUAAGAAAAAACAUUCAAGUANNNNNNNNNNNNNNNNNNNNNNNNNNNNNNNNNNNNNNNNNNNNNNNNNNNNNNNNNNNNNNNNNNNNNNNNNNNNNNNNNNNNNNNNNNNNNNNNNNNNNNNNNNNNNNNNNNNNNNNNNNNNNNNNNNNNNNNNNNNNNNNNNNNNNNNNNNNNNNNNNNNNNNNNNNNNNNNNNNNNNNNNNNNNNNNNNNNNNNNNNNNNNNNNNNNNNNNNNNNNNNNNNNNNNNNNNNNNNNNNNNNNNNNNNNNNNNNNNNNNNNNNNNNNNNNNNNNNNNNNNNNNNNNNNNNNNNNNNNNNNNNNNNNNNNNNNNNNNNNNNNNNNNNNNNGCACAAAACGAACACCUAAAUUGGGCCGGCCCACGUGUUUGCCACCAAUUUGACGCAAUAGGCAGGCUGUAAAAUUAGGUUAGUGUGAGGUCUGCGAUUCAAGUAGAUUGAUACUACAUCUUGAUUUGCUCUGCUCUUUUUGUCAUGCUUAGAAAAAUCCACUUGAAUUAUAUAUCGCAAAAUUAUGGACAUUGUGCUUUCUCGGAGUGCCAAUUUUUUUUUCUCAAUUUAAGUGAAAGAAACUUUAUUAUACGGAAUUUUACCAUUGUGUGGUGUUAUCUUUUUGAAGUAUUUGAACCUUUUUUAUGGAUCUACUAUUCAUGCUUGUAAUAGGUGUCUCUAUGCAUAUCAAAGUACAUAAUUUCUUGAAUAAGACACAUACUGUCAAUCCCCAAUAGAUCAUGUUGUUAAGAUUAGUUCCUCAAUUGGCAUAUAGGUUAUUCUGAAUCUUAGGAGUUGUUUGGAUAUCACCAGCACCAGCCCCACCAGAACAGGGCAUGCCAAAUUAUUCGUAGAUCAAUAUUAUCGAUGUUAUACAAUUUUUACCAGAUUUUAAGAAGAGGAUGUCAAUUGGAAGCAGGUGCACCAUAAGCUUAAGCUCUACUAGAGGCUGGUGCUCUAACCUCUGAGUCGAUUUCUUAUGUACUCUUUAUUGUUUUCGUUGUUUCCAUUGCCCCUAUAAGAUUUAUGAGCUUCUAUUCACCAUGAGUCCUAACUAGUGACAGAAGAUUCACAAGACUUGUACUAAAUUUUCCUAAAGAAUUGAAUCAAAACACUCACUUAAUGCACCAAAAAUUCCUAAUAGCAACCAAAGAAUACUUAAAUUAACUCGGGCUAACAUUAAGUGGCCAGGAACAUUUGUAAAGACCAUGGAACCUCAUCAAUAGUAACAGGAACCGAGGAUAUACACAACAACUAGGACAAAUCUUUCUUGGUACCACCGUCUGCACUUUAUCUCCGAUUCUUGGUAUGUCAUGCAAUAUUGCCUAGCCCAAUGAGAAGAGUCCACAAAAUCACGGUAGCAUCUCCAAACCCGUUCAUGAUUGCAUAUUAUGCUAUUUUUGCAUAUGCACACAUAUCCAGCAUUUUCAAAUCCCUGGUACCUCCCAAACCUAUAACAAACUCAAAUAAAUCCUACUAUUUUGGACAUGAUAGACAAAGCUGAGCUACUCAGUCAGGGAGGGAUCUCUGUCUAUGACAUGCACUCUAGUAGUCCAAGUUUUUUAUGUCUUUUAUAGCCGGAGAUUUCUAUGCAGAUGAGUAGUUCUUUCAUUUAUUUCUGCCAUUACUCCUGCAACUCAUAUAUUGUCCAUUACAUGCUCGCUGACUUGAUUUAAUAGGUACACACGAUGAAUCUGUCACAUCCAUAUCCAUAUGAUCCAUCAUGUCUUUAUUGAUCCAUGUCUAUGCAGUUUUGUAGGAUACGAGCCAAUGAGUGAAGAAUUAGCAAGUGUGUUGCUGAGAUACAUGUUCAAUGUGGUGCUAAGCAUUAUACACAUCGGUGAUGAAAUAUUUGUUGGUGUAUCGGCUCCAUAUAAAACAAUAUGGUAGCGGACGUGCAAGCUUUGCCCAAGAAAAUGGGCAUACUGUGAAACAACCUACCAAAAUAUUUUAUUAAAAUAACACAUCUUAGCAAAAAAACACAUGAAAGCUAAGAAAUUAUUACCCAACUUCAAGCAACUACAAAGGGUAUUUCUCCAGCAAAAAAACUAUGAAGGGUAUUUCACGCAUCAUUGUAGAGAUUGCGCAACAACAGUCCUAACUAAACCAAGAGCCAAAAUUGUCAAACUGAAUUCAUAAAGAACAUUUUACUUGUCUCUCAGAUCUGAAGACAGUUAUUGUCGGAGGCCGAAGGGGUGCCCGGUUAUAUACGAGGGUGCCGCCAACUAGGGUUUAACCCCCUGCCUCCGCUCAGCUUGAAUACCAAUUUGACCCUCAUGGAUGUGUCACUGUAGGUGGGUCCUGAUUUUUAUUGGCGAUACAUGGUAAUAGUUGGGCUGGGUGAAAUGGGUUUCGUCAGGACCAUGUGACACCACAAGGUUUGAAUGGGCUUGACAUUUUCAUCUCAAGGUCACCUCUUGCUUGGUGGACUGCGGUUAGUGAGCCGACCUCCUCGGAUCUCAUUGUCAAUGUCCUGAGGGAUUCACCGUAAGCUCCGCUACAUGAGAUAUUCUGCCUUGUAAGCUCUACUAUAGGUUCAUGCUCUAACCUCUGAUUUCUUACAUACUAUUUAUUGUAUUAGUUGUUUCUAUAGCCCUAAAGAGAUUUCUGAACCUCCAUUCACCGUGACCCCAGACUCUCGACAAAAAGAUUCACAAGAGUCAAUGUACUAUUGUCCUAAAGGAUUAAAUCAAAACACUUGCAUGAUGCACCAAGAAGUCUUAACAGCAAUCAAAGAAUAAUUAAUUAACUCGAGUUAAAUUUAAGUGGUCGAGAAUAUUUUUAGAGACAGCGGAAAUUCUUUGCACUAAUUAAGAUAGUACUCCCAUUGUCAUGGACCUCGGACACAACGACUGAGGGAGUCCUGGAUUAGGGGGUGUCCGGAUGGCCGGACUAUACCUUCAGCCAGACUCCUGGGCAAUGAAGAUACAAGAUUGAAGACUUCGUCCCGUGUCCGGAAGGGACUUUCCUUGGCGUGGAAGGCAAGCUUGGCGAUACGGAUAUGUAGAUCUCCUACCAUUGUAACCGACUUUGUGUAACCCUAACCCUCUCCGGUGUCUAUAUAAACCGGAGGGUUUUAGUCCGUAGGACAACAUAUAGAACAAUAAUCAUACCAUAGGCUAGCUUCUAGGGUUUAGCCUCUCCGAUCUCGUGGUAGAUCUACUCUUGUACUGCCCAUAUCAUCAAUAUUAAUCAAGCAGGACGUAGGGUUUUACCUCCAUCAAGAGGGCCCGAACCUGGGUAAAACUUCGUGUCCCUUGCCUCCUGUUACCAUCCGGCCUAGACGCACAGUUCUGGACCCCCUACCCGAGAUCCGCCGGUUUUGACACCGACAUUGGUGCUUUCAUUGAGAGUUCAUCUGUGUCGUCUGAAAGUGCGUUAUAUCGACUAGAGGGGGGUGAAUAGGCGGUUUUUAUGAAAGUCUUCAAAACAUGGAAGUUAUGAAGACAAACGAUAGAAAUAAACCUAUUACCCUGCAGCGGAAGGUAGACUACACUAGGCAAGCCAUAGUCAAGUAUUCAAUAGAGUGAAAGCAUAAUGACUAAUAGCAGCAAUGUAGUAAGGAUCAGGUAGGAAGAUAUUGUGAAGCCACACAGAACACGCAGUCACUCAGUGAAGACAAAAGAUAGUGCGAACAUACAAUGACUUCACAAGGAGUAAUAGUAAGUAAAGGGAAGGGAAGAUGAAACCAGUGACUCGCUGAAGACAAUGAUUUGUUGGACCAGUUCCAGUUGCUGUGACAACUAUAUGUCUGGUUAGGGCGGCUAGGUAUUUAAACCUUAGGACACACAGUCCCGGACACCCAGUCCUGAACACGCAGCUCAGGACACCCAGUCCUCACCGUAUUCCCCUUGAGCUAAGGUCACACAGACCUCACCCAAUCACUCUGGUAAGUCUUCAAGGUAGACUCCCAAACCUUCACAGACUUCGUUCACUGGCAAUCCACAAUGUCUCUUGGAUGCUCAGAACGCGACGCCUAACCGGCUGGAGGAUGCACAGUCCUCAAGUGUAAUAAGUCUUCAGAUCACACAGACAAGAAGACUUAAGUGAUGCCUAAUUCUCUUUGGCUCUGGGUGGUUAGGGCUUUAUCCUCGCAAGGAAUUCUCUCUCAAAAGCUUCAAGGUGGGUUGCUCUCAAACGACAAAAGCCGUACUCUGAAUCUGAGCAGCCAACCAUUUAUGGUUGUAGGGGGUGGGCUAUUUAUAGCCACUUGGCAACCCGACCUGAUUUGUCCGAAAUGACCCUGGGUCACUAAGGAAGUGACACGUGUUCCAACGGUCAGAUUUCAAACUCACACGACAACUUUACUUGGGCUUCAAGCAAAGCUGACUUGCCCGACUCUGGACAAGAUUCGCUCUCAAAGUCUUCACUCUUAGACAUAGGUUUUGUUUAAGCAUCACUUCAGUCAUUCUGACUGGUUCUCUUGGACCCCACUUAACAGUAUGGUGGUUCCUAUGACUCAACACAGAAGAAAGAGAACUACGAAAGAUCUAAGUCUUCGAGCUCCAUAGGCUUCAUGUGGUGUCUUCUCUUGUCAUAGUCUUCAAUGUGAAUAUCUUCAUAUACCACAUUUGACUUUAAUGUCUUCAUACAUUUUUAGGCGUCAUCUCUGGUAGGAAAACCGAAUCAAUGAGGGACUUCUACCUGUGUUAUCCUGCAAUUCUCACAAACACAUUAGUCCCUCAACUAGGUUUGUCGUCAAUACUUCAAAACCAACUAGGGGUGGCACUAGAUGCACUUACAAUCUCCCCCUUUUUGGUGAUUGAUGACAAACUAGUUGAAGUUUUCAACGGGGAAUAUAAUCUGUGAAAUUGUAAAGGAUAAGGAAUUGUCUUCAUAAGUUGCAAGGGCUCCCCCUGAAGAUGUGCAUAUAAGUAAUUUUCUUUUGGGAUGCAAAUGCACAUGGCAGGUUGUACUUGUGGAGAUCCACUUCAACUUAUGACGACAAUCCACUAUGCAUGUGAAAGUAUAUGAAGAUAAUGACAUGCAUAAUGGAAAAUGGACGUCUGCAGAAUGAUCUAAGUGCGGAAUUUAUCAUCACAACACAAGGUGGCAGAUAAGUAGCAGACGACCAUCGAGUUUAAGUGUUACAAUUCAAAGAACCAAAUGUAGCAAAACGAGAGUUGUAAGCACAAAGCAAAAUAUAAAGCACCCGCCCAUAUGGACCCGCUUGAAGACUAUCAACCUCAUAUGCUUCUCCCUCUUUUGUCAGUAAGGACCAAAAAGGUUUGAAGACAUAGAGCAUCUACUCGUUCCCAUGAGGAGGAGGUGAAGCUGCAGGGUCGUUAGUGGUAUUUGGCGGUGCUGAAGAGCUUAGAGCAGAGUCGAAGCGUGCUGAAGGAGGUGGCGGUGAAGUAGCAUCGUCUUCAUCCUCGAUCACUCUGGCAUUCACAGUUGCAGCAGAGGAAGAGAACUCAGAGUCUUCAAGGGAUGGAGUUCUUUGCAGCACUGCCCUUCGAGGAGGUGUGGAGUCAAACUUGAAUCACUCAGUGAAGCCAUCCUUUUGAAGAUCAUAUUCAGAACACAUCAGCGUUAGCCCUUUCCAUGUGCGGUGAGAGGUUUCAUGGGUAACAAAAGCAUUCAUGGUGGCAAGAUUGCGAAUGCGAUUAACAUCCACCAAGAGGCUUUGCAUUUGACGCUUCAGCCAGUCAUGAUGCCUACCCUGUUUCUGAUGAAGAGCCACAAGAAGCUCUCGGUCAUUGAGAACACGAGUGCGCUUCUUGGGUCGUGGAGCAGUUGUAUUGUCAGUGGCUUUAGUGAGAGCAGGAUGCAGUGCACGUGUAGUGCCAGCCAAAGGAUACACACGAGCGACUGCUUCAACUCCUUCAAUGUUCUGAGAGAAACUCUGAUGCUCUCCAUUCUGAAGACUUAGGGGUUCCUUGGCAGGCUCAGGAUAGAUGGCUUCAAUAGACAUAUCCACAUCAGGCAGAAAAAUCCGAUGAUUGCGAGCAGAUGGCUGAUAUGAGACAGUGGAGUGAAGUUUGAUCAGCCGCAUGACCCAUGGGGCGUAGAACUUCAAGCCAAACAGAUCAGAGCCUGAUGCAGCCAGUUGGCGAAUGAAGAAGUCCUGUGCAUUGAAGCAUUUUCCAUGAAGAAUAUAGAAGACCAAAGUCUUCAUUGCACCUUCAAGCUUGGCAUGUGGAGAGUGCCCUUUGAUGGGCCAGAGAGUUCGCCUUAUGAUGUGAUAAAUAGUCCUUGGCAGAUACUCUAGGUCUUUAACAAAGAACUCUUUGGAAUAUGCAGCAUCUUGGGGUAAUGGCUUCAUCAUAAUGAGCAUCUGACUCGUGUUAGGUUCAGACUUCUGAAAGAUGCUCUCAAUAGCUUCACUAUGAAGCUGACAGCCAUGCUCAUAGAGAUCGCCAGGAGUGGGCAAACCAGUGAGCUCAAUGAUGUCAAAGGCUUUGGUUUCGUCAUGAACGUUUCCUGUCAUCCACUCCAGGACCCAAGUCUUCGGAUCACUGCUAUACCCGCGGAUGUGGAGUGUGGCAUAGAAUUGGAGCAGCAACUCUUCAUUCCAAUGCUCUUGGUCAGUGACGAACGGCAGCAGUCCAACCUCUUUGAAGCAAUUCAGAGCUUCUUCCAGACAGGGCAGACCAGCUAUUGCUUCAAUGUCAAGGCGCUUGUGUGGGAAGAUGCGACCUUGGUUGUAAAGAACACAUGAGUAAUAGCUUCGCUGCGGAUAACUCCAGAACCGAUCAGAUGAUAUUCUUUCCCUGGAGUAGGGGUUCCUGGAGCUGUUGAAGAAUGUGUUGUUUGCUCUGAAGCCAUUGAUAUUGAAGGAGCCAGGUGCUGAUGCAGGACCUGGGAACCUUGGCAAUCUUGGGAUUGACUUCUGUACCUGAGGCCUGUGCUCAACAUGAUAGUAGAACUGGGGACCGGCAGCAGACUCAGGAACAGAAGUGGCGGGAUCAGUGGCUUCGCUGACUUCUGGUGCUUUUGUUGGUGAGGGCUCCACAUUAGCUUCAGCCAUGACAUCGUCAGUGGCUUCAGUGGUGUUGGUGGUGGCAGCCUCAAGAUGUUCAACCUCCACUUGAUGAGCAGGAGGGUCGGUCACGAUCACGUUCUCCUCAAGAACUGCUUCUUGGUGGGACAGGGGAGUGGCAACUUGUGGGUCUUCUUCUUCAUCGGCUGAUGCAGCCGGAAUUUCUUCACAGAUUCAGCUUCAGACGCAGAGACUGGAGGCCUUGGUCCUUUGCGAAGCCUACGCAACGCAGGCGACGCCUGUGUAGUUGGAGUUGGCUGGGCCUCAAAGUCUUCUUCCUCUUGUGGGCAAUCAGCCCAUUAAGCAUCCUGAGCGAUUGGCGUCUGUAAGUGCAUCUAGUGCCACCCCUAGUUGGUUUUGGAGUAUUGACGACAAACCUAGUUGAGGGACUAAUGUGUUUGUGAGAAUUGCAGGAUAACACAGGUAGAAGUCCUUCAUCGAUUCGGUUUUCCUACCAGAGAUGACCCCUAAAAAUGUAUGAAGACAUUGAAGUCAAAGGUGGUAUAUGAAGAUAUUCACAUUGAAGACUAUGACAAGAGAAGACACCACAUGAAGCCUAUGGAGCUCGAAGACUUAGAUCUUUCGUAUUUCUCUUUCUUCUGUGUUGAGUCAUAGGAACCACCGUACUGUUAAGUGGGGUCCAAGAGAACCAGUCAGAAUGACUGAAGUGAUGCUUAAACAAAACCUAUGUCUUCGAGUGAAGACUUUGAGAGCGAAUCUUGUCCAGAGUCGGGCAAGUCAGCUUUGCUUGAAGCCCAAGUAAAGUUGCCGUGUGAGUUUGAAAUCUGACCGUUGGAACACGUGUCAGUUCCUUAGUGACCCAGGGUCAUUUCGGACAAAUCAGGUCGGGUUGCCAAGUGGCUAUAAAUAGCCCACCCCCUACAACCAUAAACGGUUGGCUGCUCAGAUUCAGAGUACGGCUUUUGUCGUUUGAGAGCAACCCACCUCGAAGCCUUUGAGAGAGAAUUCCUUGCGAGGAUAAAGCCCUAACCACCCAGAGCCAAAGAGAAUUAGGCAUCACUUAAGUCUUCUUGUCUAUGUGAUCUGAAGACUUAUUACACUUGAGGACUGUGCAUCCUCCAGCCGGUUAGGCGUCGCGUUCUGAGCAUCCAAGAGACAUUGUGGAUUGCCGGUGAACGAAGUCUGUGAAGGUUUGGGAGUCUACCUUGAAGACUUACUAGAGUGAUUGGGCGAGGUCUGUGUGACCUUAGCUCAAGGGGAAUACGGUGAGGACUGGGUGUCCUGAGCUGCGUGUUCAGGACUGGGUGUCCGGGACUGUGUGUCCUAGGGUUUAAAUACCUAGCCGCCCUAACCAAACGUACAAUUGUCACAGCAACUGGAACUGGUCCAACAAAUCAUUGUCUUCAGCGAGUCACUGGUUUCAUCUUCCCUUCCCUUUACUUACUGUUACUCCUUGUGAAGUCAUUGUAUGUUCACACUAUCUUUUGUCUUCACUAAGUGACUGCGUGUUCUGUGUGGCUUCACAAUAUCUUCCUACCCGAUCCUUACUACAUUGCUGCUAUUAGUCAUUGUGCUUUCACUCUAUUGAAUACUUGACUAUGGCUUGCCUAGUGUAGUCUACCUUCCGCUGCAGGGUAAUAGGUUUAUUUCUAUCGUUUGUCUUCAUAACUUCCACGUUUUGAAGACUUUCAUAAAAAUCGCCUAUUCACCCCCCUCUAGUCGAUAUAACGCACUUUCAAUUGGUAUCAGAGCAAGGUGCUCCCUUGUUCUGUGUGAUUCGGUUUAACCACCUGGAGUUUUAGCUAUGUCGACUGCAGGGAUAAUUAAAGUCUUCGCUGCGUGUCCCGUCUUCGAUGGAACUGAAUAUCCCUACUGGAAGAACAAGAUGCGCAUGCAUCUUGAAGCCAUUGACGUUGACCUAUGGUAUGUCAUCAAGAACGGCAUUCCCAAGGCUGGAGAAGGUGUCACUUCUGCUGAUGUCAAGAAGUUCGUUCAACUGGACUCUACUGCCAAGAAUAUCAUCUGUGGUCAUCUGACCAAAGGACAGUAUGGCCGUGUGAGUGCUUUGGAAACAUCUAAGCUGGUAUGAGACUGGCUCUCCAAGGUCAAUGAAGGCGUCUCAACCCAGAGAGAUCAGAGAAUCAGUGUCCUUUGCAACCUCUUCAACCGCUUCAAGCGAAAUGACAAUGAGAAUGUCCAGCUCACAUUUGACCGACUCACUGACAUCACAAAUGAGCUUCAAGCCCUCGGCGCUACUGAGAUCACCAAACAUGAAGUCGUGAAGACACUACUGAGAUCACUUGGUAGUUCGUUUGACACCCUAGCCCUAAUGAUUCAAGAACGUCCUGAUUUCAAGACACUCGAUCCGUCUGACAUACUUGAGAGGCUCAAUACACAUGAGUUUCAGCUUUCUGAGAAAAGAGAUAUCUACGGUCCAAACUAUGGGCGAACUCGUGCCUUGAAGGCAAAAACUGUCUCCUCAUCUGAAGAAGAAUCUGACAGCAGUUCGGAUGAUCCUGAAGACAUUGGAAGGCAACUUGCUAUGCUUGUGAAGAAGUUCCAAAAAUUCACCAAGAAGAAAGGUUUCAGAAAGUCUUCCCGAUCAAGCUCAAGGAAUGAUGAAGUUUCUGCUCACGACUACAAGAAGAAAGCAUGUCACAAGUGCAAGAAACCUGGCCACUUCAUCUCUGAGUGUCCACAGUGGGACAAUGAGAACAAAAAGAAGAAGAAGAGCAAGGAAUAUGACUCUGACGACAAGAAGAAGAAGAAAUACUCAAAGUCUUCUUCCAAGUCUUCCUCAAAGUCUUCAUCACACAAGAAGAGCUCAUCUGGCAAGGCACGUGCGUUUGUUGGCAAGGAAAUGGAUUCAGAGGAGCAGUCCGCUUCUGAGGAGGCGGAGGUGGAGUCUGAGGAGGAGUCCGAUUCAGGCGUCGCAAGUCUGGCUACAACAUACGUUGCCAAGUCCAUCUUCAAUACUGAAGACAAUGACUUCAUCACCGACACCAAUGCAAAUGACAAGGACUACUCCGCUUCUACCUACUGCUUCAUGGCACGCGGUGCCAAGGUAAACACACGCACUACUCACUAUCAAACAUCUAGUGACGAUGACUCUGAUUGUGGAUCAAAACCCAGCUACAAAACACUUGCUAAAAUUGCAACUGAACAACAAAAAGCUAUGGAACAUAUUCAAAAACUGUUAGACAGAAGCGAUGAUCUGUUAGGUGCUGAAAUGACUCGAUCUGAAUCCUUAAUUGAAGACAUAAAAAAUCUUCACGUUAAGUAUGAGGAACUUGAAAGUCGUCAUGAAACUCUCUCAACAAUUCAUGAAAAGCUUUCCUGUGAUUAUCUUCAAAGGAAGCAAGAUCUUAAGAAAUUGAGAGCGGCUCAUGAAGAUCUUCAAAAGGAAAACGAGUCACUUCGCGCCAAAUAGAUCAGUUCCGCUCAGGAAGGAUUUGAACCACCAUGUCUUAAAUGCAUUGAGCAUGAUAAUGCUACUUCUGUUGCUGAAUGUUCUACUGCUACUACUGUUGCAAUAUCUUCAACUGUUGAUGUGGUAACUAACCCCUCUGCUGAGGAUACCACUGCUAUUGCUGAUGAGAAUGCUAGGUUGAAGACAUUGCUUGAAACAGGGAUGUACAAAAGUCUUAAAGGGCAUCAGACACUAUGUGAUGUCCUCAAAAAGCAGAUUCUGAACCGAAACCCGAGGAAAGAGGGUGUUGGGUUCGUAAGGAAAAUGAAUGCUGAUGGCUCUUACUGGAAACCUGAGCAGUCCCCCAAAACCACGUGGGUUGCUGCAAAGGAACCUUCAGCAGAUCCAUCCAAUCUAUCUGGCUUCACUUGUGCUAACCCCAUUAUCAUUGAUGAAUCCCUUGAUGCAAACUAUAAACUAUUUAAGAAUCAGAAUGGUGAAGUGUUUGCCAGGUACAUUGGUACUAACUACAGGAAUGGACCGCCUAUGAAGAAGAUCUGGGUUCCGAAAAGGUGUCUAGAGAAUCUUCCUGUGAAUGUCAUCAUGACACCUCACGUGAAGAAGACAAACCUCAGACCAAAGGCUUCAUACGGUCCAAAGGCUUCAUACAGACAGAGGACUCACCUGAGUCGCACUAACGCAAAUAUUUUGCAGGGAAACCAUACUCAGGCAUAUGAAUAUGAGAGCGGUUCAUCAAACCGCCAUGUUCAUAAGACCAAGAACUAUUCUCCUUAUUCUUAUGAGUACUAUUGUCCGCCUGCAAGACUGUUUGCUAGGGCUCCAAAGCCAAAGUUCUAAGAUGCUGCACUUUGAAUUAUUGCUUCUAAGCCACCCUUGAAGAUGUGGGUGGCUAAGAAAGCUUAACUCUCUUUUGCAAGGAAAGGUCUCCGGCAGAAAACCAAAAUCGUCUGACACUAUUGCUGGGGACCUUAAACAUCUUGUAGGGCACAAGAUCAAAUGCCCGAAUGGUCUUACUAUGUACUUCGUUCCUGAAUCACUUGCUACUCUCCCUAUUAGUCCUAAUCUGGAUCUAAGCUUUCAUAACCCACUGGUUCGUCAAAUGUUUUUGCUUCACAAUGCUCUUCGUGAAGCCUAUCCCCCUAACUGCACUGUAGGGUACGACACCAGCGUCUUCAGAAUGGAUUAUUGAUAGUGGGUGUACAAAUCACAUGACUGGCAAAAGAAGCCUUCUUAUGGGCUCAACCUUACGUCCAUCCGACAAGAGCCACAUCACAUUUGCUGACACUGGUAAGAGUAAGGUAUUGGGUCUAGGUAGAGUUGCAAUCUCAAGGGAUCAACACAUGGAUAAAGUCAUGCUUGUUGAAUCCCUUGGCUUCAACUUCAUGUCUGUCUCAAUGCUUUGCGAUUUAAACAUGAUCGUAAUAUUUGGAAAAUAUCGUUGCCUUGUUCUAAUGGAAUCUGACAAGUCUCUAGUAUUUGAAGGGUAUCGAAAAGAUGAUUUGUACGUGGUAGAUUUCUCAGCAGGACCAUAGCUUGCCGUAUGUCUUCUAGCAAAAGUUUUAGAAUGCUGGCUCUGGCAUCGGAGGCUUGGGCAUGCUGGCAUGAGGAACCUCCACACCCUGGCAAAGAAGAAGCAUGUCAUAGGCAUCGAGGGCAUCAAGUUCAAGAAAGAUCACUUAUGCGGUGCCUAUGAGGCAGGAAAGAUGACGAGGGCCAAACAUCCAUCGAAGACAAUCAUGACCACUACUCGACCCUUCGAACUGCUUCACAUGGAUCUUUUCGGUCCCACUCAUUACUCAACUCUUACUACUGCUGCUUGUCUGUAUGGCUUUGUCAUUGUUGAUGAUUAUUAUAGAUAUACUUGGGUGCACAUAAUCCUUUACAAGACUGAAGUGCAGCAUGUCUUCAGACGCUUCGCCAAUCGAGCAAUGAACAACUAUGGCGCCAAGAUAAAGCAUAUCAGAAGUGACAAUGGCACUGAAUUCAAGAACACUGGCCUUGAUACAUAUCUUGACACCUUCGGCAUCACACAUGAAUUCUCAGCCCCGUACACGCCACAGCAGAAUGGGGUCGUCGAACGCAAGAACAGAACACUCAUUGAGAUGGCCAGAACGAUGCUAGAUGAAUACAAGACUCCAAGAAAAUUCUGGCCUGAAGCCAUUGAUACUGCAUGCCAUACAAUCAAUCGUGUUUAUCUUCACAAGCUUCUGAACAAGACAUCUUAUGAGCUCCUUACUGGCAAGAAGCCAAAUGUCAGUUACUUCAGAGUAUUUGGCGCCAGGUGCUGGAUCAAGGACCCACAUCACACCUCAAAGUUUGCACCAAAAGCACAUGAGGGUUUUAUGCUUGGAUAUGGAAAGGAUUCGCACUCCUACAGAGUCUUCAAUCUCUUUCAUUACAAAGUGGUUGAAACAGUGGAUGUGCGGUUCGAUGAGACCAACAGUUCACAAAGAGAGCAACUGCCAAAUGUGCUAGAUGAAGUUCCAUCCAGUGAAUCAAUCAAGCUAAUGGGAACUGGAGAAAUUAUACCUUCUGAAGCUCAUCCUGAAGAAGAACUUAUCAUCUCAGCACCUGAUCAACAUGAAGACAAUGCUCAGCCUGAAGACAUUCCUUCUAACAACGACAAUGAUCAGCAAGAGCAAAAUCUUCGCCCUGUACAUCCUCGCGUUGCCAAUGAAGUGCAGAUUGAAAGAAUAAUUGAUAGCAUCAAUGCACCCGGUCCACUCACUCGUUCAAGGGCAACUCAGCUAGCAAAUUUUUGUGGGCACUUUGCAUUCGUCUCAAUAACAGAACCCAAGAAAGUUGAAGAAGCCUUCAUGGAACCUGAAUGGAUUCAAGCUAUGCAAGACGAGCUUCAACAGUUUGAACUGAAUAAUGUACGGGAACUGGUCAAGCGUCCCGAUCCUCGGAAGCACAACAUAAUAGGCACCAAAUGGAUAUACUGCAACAAGCAAGAUGAGCAUGGUCAAGUUGUCAGAAACAAAGCUCGUCUCGUUGCUCAAGGAUAUACUCAAGUGGAAGGCAUUGACUUCGAUGAAACAUUUGCUCCUGUGGCUAGACUUGAAGCCAUACACAUACUGCUGGCCUAUGCAAAUCAUCACAACAUACUUCUUUAUCAAAUGGAUGUGAAGAGCGCCUUCCUCAAUGGCAAGAUUGAAGAAGAAGUGUAUGUUGCACAACCUCCUGGCUUUGAAGAUCCAAAACAUCCUAACAUGGUAUACAAGCUCAACAAGGCACUGUAUGGCCUCAAACAAGCCCCUCGGGCCUGGUAUGACACACUCAAAUACUUCCUGAAGAGCAAAGGCUUCAUACCUGGUUCUCUCGACCCCACUCUCUUCAUGAAGACAUAUGAUGGUGAACUGUUUGUGUGCCAAAUAUAUGUGGAUGACAUUAUCUUCGGCUGCACCAAUCAGAAGUACAGUGAAGAGUUUGGAUAUAUGAUGCAAGAGCAAUAUCAAAUGUCUAUGAUGGGAGAGCUGAAGUUCUUUCUCGGUCUUCAAAUAAGACAGCAACGCAACGACAUCUUCAUAUCUCAAGAGAAGUAUCUCAAAGAUUGCCUAAAGAAGUUCGGUAUGCAAGACUGCAAAGGCUUCACGGCGCCAAUGCCAGCCAAGCAUCAUCUGGGUCCUGACGACAAUGGUAAAGAGUUCGAUCAAAAGGUAUACCGCUCCAUGAUUGGUUCUUUACUUUAUCUAUGUGCAUCUAGGCCAGAUAUUAUGCUUAGUGUUUGCAUGUGUGCUCUAUUUCAAGCGGCACCAAAGGAGUCGCAUCACUUAGCUGUGAAGCGAAUUCUUCGAUAUUUGGCUCACACCCCAACUCUAGGAUUAUGGUAUCCCAAGGGCUCAGAGUUUGAUCUGAUUGGAUUCUCGGAUGCUGAUUAUGCUGGUGACAAAGUUGAUCACAAGUCUACAUCAGGCACAUGUCACUUUCUAGGACGAUCACUUGUAUGUUGGUCUUCAAAGAAGCAGAACUGUGUAUCUCUCUCCACUGCUGAAUCUGAAUACAUUGCUGCUGGAUCUUGCUGCGCUCAGCUUCUGUGGAUGAAGCAAACGCUCAAAGACUAUGGCAUUCAUCUGAAGCAAGUGCCACUCUACUGCGACAACGAAAGCGCCAUCAAGAUUGCCAACAACCCAGUUCAGCACUCGAAGACAAAGCACAUUGAAAUUCGUCAUCACUUUCUCAGAGAUCAUGUUGUGAAGGAAGAUAUUGAUAUCAUACACGUCAACACUGAAGAGCAAUUGGCAGAUAUCUUCACCAAGCCCUUGGAUGAGAAGAGAUUUUGCAAGUUACGGUGUGAUCUAAAUAUCCUGGAAUCCUCAAAUGUCCUGUGAUCAGGCACACAUCCUAACCCUUAUGCAUAUUGAUGACUUAGAUGUGCAACACACGAAGUAAAGUAUAUCUUCAAUCAAUGAAGACAUAUAUUCUAAGCGUGAAUACAUUAAUGUGGAAUUUGAGUUCGGGGCGCCACGAUAAUUGUGCGCCGUGUCUGGGUCUAAUACUUCCUAUACGGUGGGUAACGCCACCACCAAAUGUUCUAUUUUGAAGUGUUUCACUCAUGGCGUUACCUUGCUAUGUCUUCACAUUUGGUUUGGCUUCAAUCUCAACAUGUCUUCAUGAUUAUCUUCACUAUGUUGAUUAUAUAUAUAUACUAGUGUUCUGUCCUCUACAGCAUUCACUUAUAGCUAUGUUUUCUUGUUGAAUCUUUUGAACUAAGUGAAUGUGAUCGGACCCUAACCUCUCUAUGCUAUCUAUCUCAAACUCUAUCUCUCCAAAUCAUAUGCAUUCUAUUGAAACUGUCGAAUGUCUUCUCUGUGUCCUUGUCAGCAGAAGAUACAAAGACAAACCUUAAGUCCACCUUCAAUGCUCAUUCCUCCACAUGAAACCCGGAGAAGUAGGAACGACCACCCGAGAAUCCAGGCGUGCGUGGGACGUGGAACAAACCCCAAAAUUCUGCAUAAUGGCCACAUGUUCCUCAGAUGCGAAUCGCCAGGGGCACCUGUGUAAUAAUGCAGUGCCGCCCUUGUACCUAUAAAUACACACUUCAUGACGGUCAUUAUCUCUUCUUCCACUCUCGCACGAACCCUAGCGCCACCGCUAGCCCUCGACGACGCCGGCGACGAAGUGCUUCGCUACCGCAACCUCUCCGAUGUUGUCUUCACGCCGACCGCGGACAUCGUCCUCUCCGCCGUCGCCAUAGGUGUCCUCCGUCGCCAAGUUAGGGCACGGAAGAUCAAACUGCUCGGCCUCAUCUUCCAUCCAUCUAGCAGUUCUUAGUGUGGUAAAUAAAACUUCCAUUUUACGGCACCGUUGAUCCUAUGGCUUUGUCACUUUCUACCACAAGCAGUUUCUAUUCACACAAGUUAGAUCUCUCUCAUACUGCAUCUCAUAACAUGCCCAGUAUAUUCACUUGUACUUCACAAAGUAGUUAGAUUCCUCACUUGUACUGAUCUCUGGAUUCGUACAAAUCUGGAACCAACUCCUUAUCUAUGAGUGAAUGUCUUCGCACGAUGAGGUCAAUGUCUUCUAAACUGAUUUAUAUUCAAAAUCUUCUGAGAAUGCAUAUGACCUCUUCCCCUUCCCUCGCACCUUAAUGCUGUCACAGGUACAUGUCCGUGGAAGAAUCCCUUGGUUCUCAUAGUCUGCAUUCAUUUGCAGAAUUCUUACAACAUCAUAUAAAUUCUCCCGAAGCAAGUUCCUGUCUGUACAGCAAGCGAAAAUCUUUGAAGCCUUUGAACGUGUUGAAGCCUUUCAGUUUAAAGUUCAUGGCUUCAGAGAAAUCAGCAAGGAAGGGUGGCAGAAAGUGUCGUGGAGAAACAUCUAGAGAUCUGCCAGAUGACCUCUCAGAACUGUACAAGACAGAUCCUGAAGAGGAUUACAAUCAGCGCAAGACCUGAAUCCAAUGGAUUCGAAGAUAUUGGGUAGAACAAUGGUUCAAAUACCGAUUUGUAACCCAGGAAUAUGCUGAGAAAAAUGCCAUCAAGAGACCAUGGGGAGACAUCCUAUACAAGAAUCUUCAACCCAGGUCCAGAGAUGAAGCCAUUGAAUAAGGCUUCUAUCCCUGCAUGGUCCAUGGGCCACAGCCUGUUGAUGCACACCCAUCGUCACUACUAUGGUGUCGUGACGACAUUCUGUUCAAGCGCAACUUCCAGUUUGCCCAGAACUCAGCGAAGCAAAACAAGAAGACAUUGGGACUAGAUUUCAACCCUGGUCCCUCAGCUCCAAGGGCUGAUGGCACACGAGAUGCAGAACCCAAUGUCAUCGGUCCUUUCUACAACCUUGAAGGCCUCAUCACCCAUAUCUUGGUUCAAGGGACUGCAGUGAAUGAGCCUGCAGCUGACGCUGAAUCAGAUGAAGCGCCUGCAGCGCCGAAGCCAAAGAAGUUGAAGAAUCCUAAAGCUUCAAAGCCUGCCCCUUCACCAAAAAUCUCACGGGCGAAGCCACUGGCAACUGCACCUCCUGAAGACAGUGUGCAGUCCGAAGAUUUUUCACGCAUCUCCAAGUCCCAGAAGGUCAAGAUGCCUCUGCCACACACCGGCCAAGAGCUAACAGCUGCUGCCAUUCUGCGCAAUGAUGCCAUUGAUCUAUCAAGUGAUGAAGAUCUUGCAGAUGACGCUCUUGAGCAACUCAUCAAGAGAAAAGAAGAAGCAGAAAUCUUCAAUGAUCUGCCUCUCUUUGAUGUAACAAUCAUCCACAACUUCAUUGAUGAAUGGUUUGACACGCCAAACAUCAGCUUCGACGAUCUCCAACUACCCAUUGGCCUCAGUGUCGCCUUCCAUGGCGCCAUUGCUUCAGAGUUAGCUAUCGCCCAGAGCAUUGUUGAACUAAAGCAGAAGAUUGACUUUGAGAAAUCUCAGUUCAAGAAGCAUAUGGCCAAGCUCAGUAUGCAAGAGGUGAAGAACUUCAAGAUUAUGCUGCACGAGCUCAAGGAAGCCUUUCUCAAGAAACAUGCAGAAGCUCAAGGUUCUCCUGAGCGCAUGAAGGUUCUGGCUGAUAAAUGUGUGCAGGCCUACAAUGAGGCUGAGAAGCGCAAGGCCCUUGGGCGUCCUGGCAUCGACCCCAGGAUGGUAACAAAGAAGAUGAAGAAGCCCGCUACGGCUGAACCUGACGCACCAAGGCAGGAAGCAGAUCCCAUUGUCUUCCCAACUAGAAUGACUAGCUCGAAGCCAAAAAGCCGGUCAACCGCUUCAGAGCUCAAGAAGACGAGGACUGCUGAGGCUGAAGUCAGGAAGAGGAAACAUCCUGAAGCCUCUCCUAUUGCCCCCUCCAAGAAGAAGAGGAAGACCAAGAAAGAUCGGGCUGCUCCCACAGAGCCUUUGAUAGUUGAACCCAUUUUCAUGGUUCGUCCUGACGCUGAACGCCAACUGACAAUCCAUGAGCCUGCUUUCACAGAGGCUCAUGAAGCUGAAGACUUUCCAGCAGCUGAUCCCAUCGCUGCUGAAGACAUUGGUCAACAUGACCAUGUAGAAGAUGGUGCAGUCCUUCCUCAGCUCGAGAACAGCGAACUCAUCAGCAUUGGUCGUCCUCUGACGCCAAUCGCUCAGGAUACUUCAUGGGCUGAUCGCCCACAAGAGGAAGAAGACUUUGAGGCCCAGCCAACUCCAACUACACAGGCGUCGCCUGCGUUGCGCAGGCUUCACAAAGGACCUAGGCCUCCAGUCUCUGCGUCUAAAGCUGAAACUGCUAAAGACAUUCCGGCUGCAUCAGCCGAUGAAGAAGAAGUCCCACAAGCUGCUACUCCCCUGUCCCACAAAGAAGCGGUUCUCGAGGAGAACGUGAUUGUGACCGACCCUCCAGCUCGUCAAGUGGAGGUUGAAAAUCUUAAGGCUGCCACCACCACCACCAAUGAAGCCACUGCCACUGUCAUGGCUGAAGCUAAUGUGGAGCCCUCCCCAACGGAAGAAGAAGUCAGUGAAGCCACUGAUCCCGCCACUUCUAUUCCUGAGUCUGUUGUCGGUCGCCAGUUCGACUAUCAUGUUGUGCAUAGGCCUCAGGUACAGAAGCCAAUCCCAAGAUUGCCAAGGUUCCCAGGUCCUGCAUCAGCACCUGGCUCCUUCAAUAUCAAUGGCUUCAGAGCAGACAACAAAUUCUUCAACAACUCCAGGAACCCCUACUCCAGGGAAAGAAUAUCAUCUGAUCGGUUCUGGAGUUAUCCGCAGCGAAGCUAUUACUCAUGCGUUCUUUACAACCAAGGUCGCAUCUUCCCACACAAGCGCCUUGACAUUGAAGCAAUAGCUGGUAUGCCCUGUCUGGAAGAAGCUCUGGAUUGCUUCAAAGAAGUUGGAUUGCUGCCGUUCGUUACUGACCAAGAGCAUUGGAAUGAAGAGUUGCUGCUCCAAUUCUAUGCCACACUUCACAUCCGCGGGUAUAGCAGAGAUCGAAGACUUGGGUCCUGGAGUGGAUGACAGGAAACAUUCAUCACGAAGCCAAAGCCUUUGACAUCAUUGAGCUCACUGGUUUGCCCACUCCUGGCGAUCUCUACGAGCAUGGCUGUCAGCUUCAUAGUGAAGAUAUUGAGAGCAUCUUUCAGAAGACUGAACCUAAUAUGAGUCAGAUGCUCAGUAUGAUGAAGCCAUUGCCCCAAGAUGCUGCUUAUCCCAUGGAGUUCUUCGUUGAAGACCUUGAGUAUCUGCCAAGAACCAUUUAUCACAUCAUAAGGCGAACUCUCUGGCCAAUCAAAGGACAUUCUCACCAUGCCAAGCUGGAAGGUGCAAUGAAGACUUUGGUCUUCUACAUUCUUCAUGGAAAAUGCUUCAAUACACAGGAUUUCUUCAUUCGCCAACUUGCUGCAUCUGGCUCUGAUCUGUUUGGUUUGAAGUUCUAUGCCCCUUGGGUGAUGCGGCUGAUCAAAUUUCACUCUGCUAUCUCAUAUCAGCCCUUGGCCCGCAACCAUCGGAUCUUUUUGCCUGAUGUGGAUAUGUCUAUUGAAGCCAUCUAUCCUGAGCCUGCCAAGGAACCUCUCAGUCUUCAGAAUGCAGAGCAUCAAAGUUUCACUCAGAACGUUGAAGGCGUGGAAGCCGUAACUCGUGUGUAUCCUUUGGCUGGCACUACACAUGCACUGCAUCCUGCUCUCACUGAAGCCACUGAUAGUACAACUGCUCCACGACCCAAGAAGCGCACUCGUGUUCUCAACGACCGAGAGCUUCUUGUGGCUCUUCAUCAGAAACAGGAUAGGCCUCAUGACUGGCUGAAGCGUCAGAUGCAAAGCCUCUUGGUGGAUGUUAAUCGCAUUCGCAAUCUUGCUACCAAGAAUGCUUUUGUUGCCCAUGAAACCUCUCGCCGCACAUGGAAAGGGCUAAAGCUGAUGUGUUCUGAAGAUGAUCUUCAAGAGGAUGGCUUCACUGAGCGAUUCAAGUUUGACUCCACACCUCCUCGAAGGGCUGUGCUGCGACGAACUCCAUCCCUUGAAGACUCUAAGUUCUCUUCCUCUACUGCAACUGUGAAUGCCAGAGUGAUCGAGGAUGAAGACGAUGCUACUUCACCACCACCUCCUUCAGCAUGCUUCGACUCUGCUCCAAGCUCUUCAGCACCGCCAAACACCACCAACGACCCUGCUGCUUCACCUACUCCUCAUGGGAACGAGUAGAUGCUCUAUGCCUUCAAACCUUUUUGGUCCUUACUGACAAAAGGGGGAGAAGCAUAUGAGGUUGAUAGUCUCGUAUGUACGGGUCCAUAUGGGCGGGUGCUUUAUAUUUUGCUUCGUGCUUACAACUCUUGUUUUGCUACAUUUGGUUCUUUGAGUUGUAACACUUAAACUCGAUGGUCGUCUGCUACUUAUCUGCCACCUUGUGUUGCGAUGAUAAAUUCCGCACUUAGAUCAUUCUGCAGACGUCCAUUUUCCAUUAUGCAUGUCAUUAUCUUCAUAUACUUUCACAUGCAUAGUGGAUUGUCAUCAUAAGUUGAAGUGGAUCUCCACAAGUACAACCUGCCAUGUGCAUUUGCAUUCCAAAAGCAAAUUACUUAUAUGCACAUCUUCAGGGGGAGCCCUUGCAACUUAUGAAGACAAUUCCUUAUCCUUUACAAUUUCACAGAUUAUAUUCCCCGUUGAAAACUUCAACUAGUUUGUCAUCAAUCACCAAAAAGGGGGAGAUUGUAAGUGCAUCUAGUGCCACCCCUAGUUGGUUUUCGAGUAUUGACGACAAACCUAGUUGAGGGACUAAUGUGUUUGUGAGAAUUGCAGGAUAACACAGGUAGAAGUCCCUCAUUGAUUCGGUUUUCCUACCAGAGAUGACCCCUAAAAAUGUAUGAAGACAUUGAAGUCAAAGGUGGUAUAUGAAGAUAUUCACAUUGAAGACUAUGACAAGAGAAGACACCACAUGAAGCCUAUGGAGCUCGAAGACUUAGAUCUUUCGUAGUUCUCUUUCUUCUGUGUUGAGUCAUAGGAACCACCGUACUGUUAAGUGGGGUCCAAGAGAACCAGUCAGAAUGACUGAAGUGAUGCUUAAACAAAACUAUGUCUUCGAGUGAAGACUUUGAGAGCGAAUCUUGUCCAGAGUCGGGCAAGUCAGCUUUGCUUGAAGCCCAAGUAAAGUUGUCGUGUGAGUUUGAAAUCUGACCGUUGGAACACGUGUCACUUCCUUAGUGACCCAGGGUCAUUUCAGACAAAUCAGGUCGGGUUGCCAAGUGGCUAUAAAUAGCCCACCCCCUACAACCAUAAACGGUUGGCUGCUCAGAUUCAGAGUACGGCUUUUGUCGUUUGAGAGCAACCCACCUCGAAGCCUUUGAGAGAGAAUUCCUUGCGAGGAUAAAGCCCUAACCACCCAGAGCCAAAGAGAAUUAGGCAUCACUUAAGUCUUCUUGUCUGUGUGAUCUAAAGACUUAUUACACUUGAGGACUGUGAAUCCUCCAGCCGGUUAGGCGUCGCGUUCUGAGCAUCCAAGAGACAUUGUGGAUUGCCAGUGAACGAAGUCUGUGAAGGUUUGGGAGUCUACCUUGAAGACUUACCAGAGUGAUUGGGCGAGGUCUGUGUGACCUUAGCUCAAGGGGAAUACGGUGAGGACUGGGUGUCCUGAGCUACGUGUUCAGGACUGGGUGUCCGGGACUGUGUGUCCUAAGGUUUAAAUACCUAGCCGCCCUAACCAGACGUACAGUUGUCACAGCAACUGGAACUGGUCCAACAAACCAUUGUCUUCGGCGAGUCACUGGUUUCAUCUUCCCUUCCCUUUACUUACUGUUACUCCUUGUGAAGUCAUUGUAUGUUCGCACUAUCUUUUGUCUUCACUGAGUGACUAGGUGUUCUGUGUGGCUUCACAAUAUCUUCCUACCUGAUCCUUACUACAUUGCUGCUAUUAGUCAUUGUGCUUUCACUCUAUUGAAUACUUGACUAUGGCUUGCCUAGUGUAGUCUACCUUCCGCUGCAGGGUAAUAGGUUUAUUUCUAUCGUUUGUCUUCAUAACUUCCACAUUUUGAAGACUUUCAUAAAAAUCGCCUAUUCACCCCCCUAGUCGAUAUAACGCACUUUCAGCGUGAGAGGACGACCAAUGCUAAUGAGUUCGCUGUGCUCGAGCUAAGGAAGGACUGCACCAUCUUCUAUAUGGUCAUGGUGACCAAUGUCUUCAGCAGCGAUGGGAUCAGCUGCUAGAAAGUCUUCAGCUUCAUGAGCCUCUGUGAAAGCAGGCUCAUGGAUUGUCAGUUGGUGUUCAGUGUCAGGACGAACCAUAGAAAUGGGUUCAACUAUCAAAGGCUCGGUGGGAGCAGCCCGAUCUUUCUUGGUCUUCCUCUUCUUCUUCGAGGGGCAAUAGGAGAGGCUUCAGGAUGUUUUCUCUUCCUUGCUUCAGCCUCAGCAGUCCUCGUCUUCUUCAGCUCUGAAGCGGUUGACCGGGCCUUUGGCUUCGAGCCAGUCAUGCUAGUUGGGAAGAUAAUGGGAUCUGCUUCCUGCCUUGGUGCGUCGGGUUCAGCCGUAGCAGGCUUCUUCUUCUUCUUUGUGGCCAUCCUGGGGUCGAUGCCAGGACGCCCAAGGGCCUUGCGCUUCUCAGCCUCAUUGUAGGCUUGCACACAUCUGUCAGCCAGAACCUUCAUGCGCUCACGCGAACCCUGAGCUUCUGCACGUUUCUUGAGAAAUGCUUCCUUGAGCUCGUGCAGCAUAAUCUUGAAGUUCUUCACCUCUUGCACGCUGAGCUUGGCCAUAUGCUUCUUGAAUUGAGAUUUCUCAAAGUCAAUCUUCUGCUUCAGUUCAACAAUGCGCUGGGCGAUAGCUAGCUCUGAAGCAAUGGCACCAUGGAAGGUGACACUGAGGCCAAUGGGUAGUUGCAGAUCUUCGAAGCUGAUGUUUGGCGUGUCAAACCACUCAUCAAUGAAGUUGUGGAUGAUGGUUACAUCAAAGAGAGGCAGAUCAUUGAAGAUUUUUGCUUCUUCUUUGCUCUUGAUGAGUUGCUCAAGAGCGUCAUCUGCAAGAUCUUCAUCACUUGACAGAUCAAUGGCAUCAUUGCGCAGAAUGGCAGCAGCUGUUAGCUCUUGGCCGGUGUGUGGCAGAGGCAUCUUGACCUUCUGGGGCUUGGAGAUGCGUGAUAAGUCUUCGGACUGCACACUGUCUUCAGGAGGUGCAGUUGCCAGUGGCUUCGCCCGUGAGAUUUUUGGUGAAGGGGCAGGCUUUGAAGCUUUAGGCUUCUUCAACUUCUUUGGCUUCGGCGCUGCAGGCGCUUCAUCUAAUUCAGCGUCAGCUGCAGGCUCAUUCACUGCAGUCCCUUGAACCAGGAUAUGGGUGAUGAGGCCUUCAAGGUUGUAGAAAGGACCGACGACAUUGGGUUCUGCAUCUCGUGUGCCAUCAGCCCUUGGAGCUGAGGGACCAGGGUUGAAGUCUAGUCCCAAUGUCUUCUUGUUUUGCUUCGCUGAGUUCUGGGCAAACCAGAAGUUGCGCUUGAACAGAAUGUCGUCACGACACCAUAGUAGUGACGAUGGGUGUGCAUUAACAGGCUGUGGCCCACGGACCAUGCAGGGAUAGAAGCCUUGUUCAAUGGCUUCAUCUCUGGACCUGGGUUGAAGAUUCUUGUAUAGGAUGUCUCCCCACGGUCUCUUGAUGGCAUUUUUCUUAGCAUAUUCCUGGGUUACAAAUCGGUAUUUGAACCAUUGUUCUGCCCAAUAUCUUCGAAUCCAUUGGAUUCGGGUCUUGCACUGAUUGUAAUCCUCUUCAGGAUCUGUCUUGUACAGUUCUGAGAGGUCAUCUGGCAGAUCUCUAGAUGUUUCUCCAUGACGCUUUCUGCCACCCUUCCUUGCUGAUUUCUCUGAAGCCAUGAACUUUAAACUGAAAGGCUUCAACAAGUUCAAAGGCUUCAAAGAUUUUCGCUUGCUGGACAAACAGAAACUUGCUUCGGGAGAAUUUAUAUGAUGCUAUAAGAAUUCUGCAAAUGAAUGCAGACUAUGAGAACCAAGGGAUUCUCCCACGGACAUGUACCUGUGACAGCAUUAAGGUGCGAGGGAAGGGGAAGAGGUCAUAUGCAUUCUCAGAAGAUUUUGAAUAUAAAUCAGUUUAGAAGACAUUGACCUCAUCGUGCGAAGACAUCCACUCAUAGAUAAGGAGUUGGUUUCAGAUUUGUACGAAUCCAGAGAUUAGUACAAGUGAGGAAUCUAACUACUUUGUGAAGUACAAGUGAAUAUACUAGGCAUGUUAUGAGAUGCAGUAUGAGAGAGAUCUAACUUGUGUGAAUAGAAACUGCUUGUGGUAGAAAGUGACAAAUCCAUAGGAUCAACGGUGCCGUAAAAAGGAAGUUUUAUUUACCACACUAAGAACUGCUAGACGGAGUGGAAGAUGAGGCCGAGCAGUUCGAUCUUCCGUGCCCUAACUUGGCGACGGAGGACACCUACGGCGACGGCGGAGAGGACGAUGUCCGCGGUCGGCGUGAAGAUGGCGCCGGAGAGGUUGCGACAGCGAAGUGCUUCGUCGCUGGUGUCGUCCAGGGCUAGCGGUGGCGCCAGGGUUCGUGCGAGAGUGGAAGAAGAGAUAAUGACCGCCGUGAAGUGUGUAUUUAUAGGUUCAGGGGCGGCACUGCGUUAUUACAUAGGUGCCCCUAGCGAUUCGCAUCUGAGCAACACGUGGCCAUCAUACAGAAUUUUGGGGUUUGUUCCACGUCCCACGCACGCCUGGAUUGUCGGGUGGUCGUUCCUAUUUCUCCGGGUUUCAUGUGGAGGAAUGAGCAUUGAAAGUGGACUUAAGAUUUGUCUUCGUAUCUUCUGCUGACAGGACGCAGAGAAGACAUUCGACAGUUUCAAUAGAAUGCAUAUGAUUUGGAGAGAUAGAGUUUGAGAUAGAUAGUAUAGAGAGGUUAGGGUCCGAUCACAUUCACUUAGUUCAAAAGAUUCAACUAGAAGACAUAGCUAUAAGUGAAUAUUGUAGAGGACAGAACACUAGUAUAUAUAUAUAUAAUCAACAUAGUGAAGAUAAUCAUGAAGACAUGUUGAGAUUGAAGCCAAACCAAAUAUGAAGAAAUAGCAAGGUAACGCCAUGAGUGAAACACUUCAAAAUAGAACAUUUGGUGGUGGCGUUACCCACCGUAUAGGAAGUAUUAGACCCAGACACGGCGCACGAUUAUCGUGGCGCUCCGAAGUCAAAUUCCACAUUAAUGUAUUCACAGUUAGAAUGUAUGUCUUCAUUGAUUGAAGAUAUACUUUACUUCGUGUGUUGCACAUCUAAGUCAUCAAUAUGCAUAAGGGUUAGGAUGUGUGCCUGAUCACAGGACAUUUGAGGAUUUCAGGAUAUUUAGCUCACACCGUAACUUGCAAAAUCUCUUCUCAUUCAAGGGCUUGGUGAAGAUAUCUACCAAUUGCUCUUCAGUGUUGACGUGUAUGAUAUCAAUAUCUUCCUUCACAACAUGAUCUCUGAGAAAGUGAUGACGAAUUUCAAUGUGCUUUGUCUUCGAGUGCUGAACUGGUUUGUUGGCAAUCUUGAUGGGGCUUUUGUUGUCGCAGUAGAGUGGCACUUGCUUCAGAUGAAUGCCAUAGUCUUUGAGUGUUUGCUUCAUCCACAGAAGUUGAGCGCAGCAAGAUCCAGCAACAAUGUAUUCAGAUUCAGUAGUGGAGAGAGAUACACAGUUCUGCUUCUUUGAAGACCAACGUACAAGUGAUCAUCCCAGAAAGUGACAUGUGCCUGAUGUAGACUUGCGAUCAACUUUGUCACCAGCAUAAUCAGCAUCCGAGAAUCCAAUCAGAUCAAACUCUGAGCCCUUUGGAUACCAUAUUCCUAGAGUUGGGGUGUGAGCCAAAUAUCGAAGAAUUCGCUUCACAGCUAAGUGAUGCGACUCCUUUGGUGCCGCUUGAAAUCAAGCACACAUGCAAACACUAAGCAUAAUAUCUAGCCUAGAUGCACAUAGAUAAAGUAAAGAACCAAUCAUGGAGCGGUAUACCUUUUGAUCGAACUCUUUACCAUUGUCGUCAGGACCCAGAUGAUGCUUGGCUGGCAUUGGCGUCGUGAAGCCUUUGCAGUCUUGCAUACCGAACUUCUUCAGGCAAUCUUUGAGAUACUUCUCUUGAGAUAUGAAGAUGCCGUUGCGUUGCUGUCUUAUUUGAAGACCGAGAAAGAACUUCAUCUCUCCCAUCAUAGACAUUUGAUAUUGCUCUUGCAUCAUAUAUCCAAACUCUUCACUGUACUUCUGAUUGGUGCAGCCGAAGAUAAUGUCAUCCACAUAUAUUUGGCACACAAACAGUUCACCAUCAUAUGUCUUCGUGAAGAGAGUGGGGUCGAGAGAACCAGGUAUGAAGUCUUUGCUCUUCAGGAAGUAUUUGAGUGUGUCAUACCCGGCCCGAGGGGCUUGUUUGAGGCCAUACAGUGCCUUGUUGAGCUUGUAUACCAUGUCAGGAUGUUUUGGAUCUUCAAAGCCAGGAGGUUGUGCAACAUACACUUCUUCUUCAAUCUUGCCAUUGAGGAAGGCGCUCUUCACAUCCAUUUGAUAAAGAAGUAUGUUGUGAUGAUUUGCAUAGGCCAGCAGUAUGCGUAUGGCUUCAAGUCUAGCCACAGGAGCAAAUGUUUCAUCGAAGUCAAUGCCUUCCACUUGAGUAUAUCCUUGAGCAACGAGACGAGCUUUGUUUCUGACAACUUGACCAUGGUCAUCUUGCUUGUUGCGCCAUUUGGUGCCUAUUAUGUUGUGCUUCUGAGGAUCGGGACGCUUGACCAGUUCCCAUACAUUAUUCAGCUCAAACUGUUGAAGCUCGUCUUGCAUAGCUUGAAUCCAUUCAGGUUCCAUGAAGGCUUCUUCAACUUUCUUGGGUUCUGUUAUUGAGACGAAUGCAAAGUGCCCACAGAAAUUUGCUAGCUGAGUUGCCCUUGAACGAGUGAGUGGACCGGGUGCAUUGAUGCUAUCAAUUAUUCUUUCAAUCUGCACUUCAUUGGCAACGCGAGGAUGUACAGGGCGAAGAUUUUGCUCUUGCUGAUCAUUGUCGUUGUUAGAAGGAAUGUCUUCAGGCUGAGCAUUGUCUUCAUGUUGAUCAAGUGCUGAGAUGAUAAGUUCUUCUUCAGGAUGAGCUUCAGAAGGUAUAAUUUCUCCAGUUCCCAUUAGCUUGAUUGAUUCACUGGAUGGAACUUCAUCUAGCACAUUUGGCAGUUGCUCUCUUUGUGAACCGUUGGUCUCAUCGAACCGCACAUCCACUGUUUCAACCACUUUGUAAUGAAAGAGAUUGAAGACUCUGUAGGAGUGCGAAUCCUUUCCAUAUCCAAGCAUAAAACCCUCAUGUGCUUUUGGUGCAAACUUUGAGGUGUGAUGUGGGUCCUUGAUCCAGCACCUGGCACCAAAUACUCUGAAGUAACUGACAUUUGGCUUCUUGCCAGUAAGGAGCUCAUAAGAUGUCUUGUUCAGAAGCUUGUGAAGAUAAACACGAUUGAUUGUAUGGCAUGCAGUAUCAAUGGCUUCAGACCAGAAUUUUCUUGGAGUCUUGUAUUCAUCUAGCAUCGUUCUGGCCAUCUCAAUGAGUGUUCUGUUCUUGUGUUCGAUGACCCCAUUCUGCUGUGGCGUGUACGGGGCUGAGAAUUCAUGUGUGAUGCCCAAGGUAUCAAGAUAUGUAUCAAGGCCAGUGUUCUUGAAUUCAGUGCCAUUGUCACUUCUGAUAUGCUUUAUCUUGGCGCCAUAGUUGUUCAUUGCUCGAUUGGCGAAGCGUCUGAAGACAUCCUGCACUUCAGUCUUGUAAAGGAUUAUGUGCACCCAAGUAUAUCUAGAAUAAUCAUCAACAAUGACAAAGCCAUAGAGACAAGUAGUAGUAGUAAGAGUUGAGUAAUGAGUAGGACCGAAAAGAUCCAUGUGAAGCAGUUCGAAGGGUCGAGUAGUGGUCAUGAUUGUCUUUGAGGGAUGUUUGGCCCUCGUCAUCUUUCCUGCCUCACAGGCACCACAUAAGUGAUCUUUCUUGAACUUGACGCCCUCGAUGCCUAUGACAUGCUUCUUCUUUGCCAGGGUGUGGAGGUUCCUCAUGCCAGCAUGCCCAAGCCUCCGAUGCCAGAGCCAGCAUUCUGAAGCUUUUGCUAGAAGACAUACGGCAAGCUAUGGUCCUGCUGAGAAAUCUACCACGUACAAAUCAUCUUUUCGAUACCCUUCAAAUACUAGAGACUUGUCAAAUUCCAUUAGAACAAGGCAACGAUAUUUUCCAAAUAUUACGAUCAUGUUUAAAUCGCAAAGCAUUGAGACAGACAUUAAGUUGAAGCCAAGGGAUUCAACAAGCAUGACUUUAUCCAUGUGUUGAUCCCUUGAGAUUGCAACUCUACCUAGACCCAAUACCUUACUUUUACCAGUGUCAGCAAAUGUGAUGUGGCUCUUGUCGGAUGGACGUAAGGUUGAGUCCAUAAGAAGGCUUCUUUUGCCAGUCAUGUGAUUUGUACACCCACUAUCAAUAAUCCAUUCUGAGGACGCUGGUGUCGUACCCUACAGUGCAGUUAGGGGGAUAGGCUUCACGAAGAGCAUUGUGAAGCAAAAACAUUUGACGAACCAGUGGGUUAUGAAAGCUUAGAUCCAGAUUAGGACUAAUAGGGAGAGUAGCAAGUGAUUCAGGAACGAAGUACAUAGUAAGACCAUUCGGGCAUUUGAUCUUGCGCCCUACAUCCAGAUUAGGACUAAUAGGGAGACCUUUCCCUGCAAAAGAGAGUUAAGAUUUCUUAGCCACCCACAUCUUCAAGGGUGGCUUAGAAGCAAUAAGUCUAAGUGCAGCAUCUUAGAACUUUGGCUUUGGAGCCCUAGCAAACAGUCUUGCAGGCGGACAAUAGUACUCAUAAGAAUAAGCAGAAUAGUUCUUGGUCUUAUGAACAUGGCGGUUUGAUGAACCGCUCUCAUAUUCAUAUGCCUGAGUAUGGUUUCCCUGCAAAACAUUUGCGUUAGUGCGACUCAGGUGAGUCCUCUGUCUGUAUGAAGCCUUUGGACCGUAUGAAGCCUUUGGUCUGAGGUUUGUCUUCUUCACGUGAGGUGUCAUGAUGACAUUCACAGGAAGAUUCUCCAGACACCUUUUCGGAACCCAGAUCUUCUUCAUAGGCGGUCCAUUCCUGCAGUUAGUACCAAUGUACCUGGCAAACACUUCACCAUUCUGAUUCUUAAACAGUUUAUAGUUUGCAUCAAGGGAUUCAUCAAUGAUAAUGGGGUUAGCACAAGUGAAGCCAGAUAGAUUGGAUGGAUCUGCUGAAGGUUCCUUUGCAGCAACCCACGUGGUUUUGGGGUACUGCUCAGGUUUCCAAUAAGAGCCAUCAGCAUUCAUUUUCCUUACGAACCCAACACCCUCUUUCCUCGGGUUUCGGUUCAGAAUCUGCUUUUUGAGGACAUCACAUAGUGUCUGAUGCCCUUUAAGACUUUUGUACAUCCCUGUUUCAAGCAAUGUCUUCAACCUAGCAUUCUCAUCAGCAAUAGCAGUGGUAUCCUCAGCAGAGGGGUUAGUUACCACAUCAACAGUUGAAGAUAUUGCAACAGUAGUAGUAGUAGAACAUUCAGCAACAGAAGUAGCAUUAUCACGCUCAAUGCAUUUAAGACAUGGUGGUUUAAAUCCUUCCUGAGCGGAACUGAUCUGUUUGGCGCGAAGUGACUCAUUUUCCUUUUGAAGAUCUUCAUGAGCCGCUCUCAAUUUCUCAAGAUCUUGCUUCCUUUGAAGAUAAUCAUAGGAAAGCUUUUCAUGAGUUGUUGAGAGAGUUUCAUGACGACUUUCAAGUUCCUCAUACUUAACGUGAAGAUUUUUUAUGUCUUCAAUUAAGGAUUCAGAUCGAGUCAUUUUAGCACCUAACAGAUCAUCGCUUCUGUCUAACAGUUUUUGAAUAUGUUCCAUAGCUUUCUGUUGUUCAGUUGCAAUUUUAGCAAGUGUUUUAUAGCUGGGUUUUGAACCAUAAUCAGAGUCAUCGUCACUAGAUGUUUGAUAGUGAGUAGUGCGUGUGUUUACCUUGGCACUGCGUGCCAUGAAGCAGUAGGUAGAAGCGGAGUAGUCCUUGUCAUUUGCAUCGGUGUCGGUGAUGAAGUCAUUGUCUUCAGUAUUGAAGAUGGACUUGGCAACGUAUGUUGUAGCCAGACUUGCGAUGCCUGAAUCGGACUCCUCCUCAGACUCCACCUACGCCUCCUCAGAAGCGGACUCCUCCUCUGAAUCCAUUUCCUUGCGAACAAACACACGUGCCUUGCCAGAUGAGCUCUUCUUGUGUGAUUAAGACUUUGAGGAAGACUUGGAAGAAGACUUUGAGUAUUUCUUCUUCUUCUUGUCGUCAGAGUCAUAUUCCUUGAUCUUCUUCUUCUUUUUGUUCUCAUUGUCCCACUGUGGACACUCAGAGAUGAAGUGGCCAGGUUUCUUGCACUUGUGACAUGUUUUCUUCUUGUAGUCAUGAGCAGAAGCUUCAUCAUUCCUUGAGCUUGAUCGGGAAGACUUUCUGAAACCUUUCUUCUUGGUGAAUUUUUGGAACUUCUUCACAAGCAUAGCAAGUUCCCUUCCAAUGUCUUCAGGAUCAUCCGAACUGCUGUCAGAUUCUUCUUCAGAUGAGGAGACAGCUUUUGCCUGUAAGGCACGAGUUCGCCCAUAGUUUGGACCGUAGAUAUCUCUUUUCUCAGAAAGCUGAAACUCAUGUGUGUUGAGCCUCUCAAGUAUGUCAGGCGGAUCGAGUGUCUUGAAAUCAGGACGUUCUUGAAUCAUCAGGGCUAGGGUGUUAAACGAACUAUCAAGUGAUCUCAGUAGUGUCUUGACGACUUCAUGUUUGGUGAUCUCAGUAGCGCCGAGGGCUUGAAGCUCAUUUGUGAUGUCAGUGAGUCGGUCAAAUGUGAGCUGGACAUUCUCAUUGUCAUUUCGCUUGAAGCGGUUGAAGAGGUUGCGAAGGACACUGAUUCUCUGAUCUCUCUGGGUUGAGACGCCUUCAUUGACCUUGGAGAGCCAGUCCCAGACCAGCUUAGAUGUUUCCAAAGCACUCACACAGCCAUACUGUCCUUUGGUCAGAUGACCACAUAUGAUAUUCUUGGCAGUAGAGUCCAGUUGAACGAACUUCUUGACAUCAGCAGCAGUGACACCUUCUCCAGCCUUGGGAACGCCGUUCUUGACGACAUACCAUAGGUCGACGUCAAUGGCUUCAAGAUGCAUGCACAUCUUAUUCUUCCAGUAGGGAUAUUCAGUUCCAUCAAAGACGGGGCACGCAGCGGAGACUUUAAUUAUCCCUGCAGUCGACAUAGCUAAAACUCUAGGUGGUUAAACCGAAUCACACAGAAUAAGGGAGCACCUUGCUCUGAUACCAAUUGAAAGUGCAUUAUAUCGACUAGAGGGGGGGUGAAUAGGCGAUUUUUAUGAAAGUCUUCAAAACGUGGAAGUUAUGAAGACAAACGAUAGAAAUAAACCUAUUACCCUGCAGCGGAAGGUAGACUACACUAGGCAAGCCAUAGUCAAGUAUUCAAUAGAGUGAAAGCACAAUGACUAAUAGCAGCAAUGUAGUAAGGAUCAGGUAGGAAGAUAUUGUGAAGCCACACAGAACAUGCAGUCACUCAGUGAAGACAAAAGAUAGUGCAAACAUACAAUGACUUCACAAGGAGUAACAGUAAGUAAAGGGAAGGGAAGAUGAAACCAGUGACUCACCGAAGACAAUGAUUUGUUGGACCAGUUCCAAUUGCUGUGACAACUGUACGUCUGGUUAGGGCGGCUAGGUAUUUAAACCUUAGGACACACAGUCCCGGACACCCAGUCCUGAACACGCAGCUCAGGACACGCAGUCCUCACCGUAUUCCCCUUGAGCUAAGGUCACAUAGACCUCGCCCAAUCACUCUGGUAAGUCUUCAAGGUAGACUCCCAAACCUUCACAGACUUCAUUCACCGGCGAUCCACAAUGUCUCUUGGAUGCUCAGAACGCGACGCCUAACCGGCUGGAGGAUUCACAGUCCUCAAGUGUAAUAAGUCUUCAGAUCACACAGACAAGAAGACUUAAGUGAUGCCUAAUUCUCUUUGGCUCUGGGUGGUUAGGGCUUUUAUCCUCGCAAGGAAUUCUCUCUCAAAGGCUUCGAGGUGGGUUGCUCUCAAAUGACAAAAGCCGUACUCUGAAUCUGAGCAGCCAACCGUUUAUGGUUGUAGGGGGUGGGCUAUUUAUAGCCACUUGGCAACCCGACCUGAUUUGUCCGAAAUGACCCUGGGUCACUAAGGAACUGACACGUGUUCCAACGGUCAGAUUUUAAACUCACACGGCAACUUUACUUGGGCUUCAAGCAAAGCUGACUUGCCUGACUCUGGACAAGAUUCGCUCUCAAAGUCUUCACUCAAAGACAUAGGUUUUGUUUAAGCAUCACUUCAGUCAUUCUGACUGGUUCUCUUGGACCCCACUUAACAGUACGGUGGUUCCUAUGACUCAACACAGAAGAAAAAGAACUACGAAAGAUCUAAGUCUUUGAGCUCCAUAGGCUUCAUGUGGUAUCUUCUCUUGUCAUAGUCUUCAAUGUGAAUAUCUUCAUAUACCACCUUUGACUUCAAUGUCUUCAUACAUUUUUAGGGGUCAUCUCUGGUAGGAAAACCGAAUCAAUGAGGGACUUCUACCUGUGUUAUCCUGCAAUUCUCACAAACACAUUAGUCCCUCAACUAGGUUUGUCGUCAAUACUACAAAACCAACUAGGGGUGGCACUAGAUGCACUUACAUCAUCGCCAUCAGGAAGGAUGCCUCGCCCCGUCUUUAAAGACGACACCGUUGCUAAGGGAGCUUUGGCCGUCGGCCAAACCCUCCGGCUAGGUGGUUUUCUUAUGACCGCCUGUUCGGCUUCUGCGCUGACGAUGACCUCUCGAGCCAUCGAAAACAAUCUUCAUGUUAGCUCGGAACUCGCCGAGCAGUUGGAUCCAAUGGAGCUCUCCUCCAUAAACGAGCUCUUGGAUCGCAUCGCCGCCCUGGGAGUCGCUACGGAUUACGACCAGAUUGGACCUAAACCCGAUCUGAGAGAGAUUAACUCUCCCCAAGUCACCCAUCACGUUGCCGUGGUAGAGGGACAGUGCGGCGACCCUUCAUCUAUCUUAAGGACUAGCUACGUCUGGAUUCUCGAUCCCUCCAAGCCGGAUACCCGCGGAGGGGAGGAUAUCACUCAAGACCUGAACUUACAGUCAGGCGACGGGCUGGAUUCAUUGGACAACAUCCAGGAAUCCAAAUUUUCGAGUUCGGAAAUUCCUCGGCCUCUGAGCCUCAGAUUAGGUGAGGCUUCGGAUUUAAUUCCACCCACCCACCCGAACAUAAGCGAUCUAUCCCAAAUCAGGCAAGAGCCCGAUGAAAUAGUGCAUCAUUACUGGGCCAGAUUCCUCCUGGUUAGGAACAGGAUAAGGGACUGCCGUGAGGAAGACGGAAUCUCAAUCUUCUGCAAUAAUUGCACGGACAAGGGAAUCCUCAA